GCGCGUCGUAUAGCGGUCACGCUCGGAGGAUGGACCCUGUUAGAUUUAGAAAGCUUCUUAAGAGAUGGGGAGGCAAGUCGGAACAUGGAAAGUGGACCGGAA
Molecule: ribosomal RNA, 102 nt
Filed under: Melanotaenia angfa (Angfa rainbowfish)
Lineage: Eukaryota; Metazoa; Chordata; Actinopteri; Atheriniformes; Melanotaeniidae
Description: partial 12S ribosomal RNA
Source: RNAcentral